This 299-nucleotide signal recognition particle RNA is filed under the name Aotus nancymaae (Ma's night monkey). RNAcentral describes it as "Metazoan signal recognition particle RNA (ENSANAG00000001765.1)". It matches the Rfam family "Metazoan signal recognition particle RNA". Rfam says of the family: The signal recognition particle (SRP) is a universally conserved ribonucleoprotein. It is involved in the co-translational targeting of proteins to membranes. The record is from RNAcentral. Lineage: Eukaryota; Metazoa; Chordata; Mammalia; Primates; Aotidae.
GCCAGGGACAGUGGUGCAUGCCUGUAAUCCCAGCUACAUGGAAGGCUGAGGCUGGAGGAUCACUUGAGCCCAGGAGUUCUGGGCUAUAGUACACUAUGCCGAUUGGGUGUCCACACUAAGUUCGGCAUCAAUAUGGUGACCUCCCGGGAGUGGGGGACCAUCAGGUUGCCUAAGGAGGGGUGAACCAGCCCAGGUCGGAAAUGGAGCAGGUCAAAACUCUUGUGCUGAUCAGUAGUGGGAUCGCGCCUGUGAAUAGCCACUGCACUCCAGCCUGGGCAACAUAGCGAGACCUCGUCUCU